GUCGACGGGAUCCAGGGCGUAGCUUGCUACAAACUGGUGAGAGUGGCGCACGGGUGCGUAACGCGUGAGCAACCUACCCAUAUCAGGGGGAUAGCCCGAAGAAAUUCGGAUUAGCACCGCAUGACACAGCGAUCUGGCAUCAGAAUGCUGUUAAAUAUUUAUAGGAUAUGGAUGGGCUCGCGUGACAUUAGCUAGUUGGUAAGGUAACGGCUUACCAAGGCUACGAUGUCUAGGGGCUCUGAGAGGAGAAUCCCCCACACUGGUACUGAGACACGGACCAGACUCCUACGGGAGGCAGCAGUAAGGAAUAUUGGUCAAUGGAGGGAACUCUGAACCAGCCAUGCCGCGUGCAGGAUGACUGCCCUAUGGGUUGUAAACUGCUUUUGUACGGGAAUAAACACUGGUACGUGUACCAGCUUGAAUGUACCGUAAGAAUAAGGAUCGGCUAACUCCGUGCCAGCAGCCGCGGUAAUACGGAGGAUCCGAGCGUUAUCCGGAUUUAUUGGGUUUAAAGGGUGCGUAGGCGGCCUGUUAAGUCAGGGGUGAAAUACGGUGGCUCAACCAUCGCAGUGCCUUUGAUACUGAUGGGCUUGAAUCCAUUUGAAGUGGGCGGAAUAAGACAAGUAGCGGUGAAAUGCAUAGAUAUGUCUUAGAACUCCGAUUGCGAAGGCAGCUCACUAAGCUGGUAUUGACGCUGAUGCA
This 702-nucleotide ribosomal RNA is filed under the name uncultured bacterium. RNAcentral describes it as "bacterial SSU rRNA". It matches the Rfam family "Bacterial small subunit ribosomal RNA", at positions 61 to 753 of the family's 1533-position model. The record is from RNAcentral.